GCCGGGUAUGGUGGCUCACGCCUGCAAUCCCAGCACUUUGGGAGGCUGAGGCGGGUGGAUCACUUGAGGUCAGGAAUUUGAGACCAACUUGGUUAACAUGGUGAAACCCCGUCUCUACUAAAAAUACAAAAAGUAGCUGGGCGUGGUGGCGGGUGCCUGUAAUCCCAGCUACUCGGGAGGCUGAGGCAGAAGAAUUUCUUGAACCUGGGAGGCAGAGGUUGCAGUGAGCCGAGAUCGCACCAGCACACUUCAGCCUGGGCAACAGAGCGAGAUUUCGUCUUA
RNAcentral lists this small RNA (282 nucleotides) under Pongo abelii (Sumatran orangutan). The record is from RNAcentral. Lineage: Eukaryota; Metazoa; Chordata; Mammalia; Primates; Hominidae.